This 253-nucleotide ribosomal RNA is filed under the name uncultured bacterium. RNAcentral's name for it is "partial 16S ribosomal RNA". It matches the Rfam family "Bacterial small subunit ribosomal RNA", at positions 524 to 776 of the family's 1533-position model. The record is from RNAcentral.
GACGUAGGGCGCGAGCGUUGUCCGGAUUUAUUGGGCGUAAAGAGCUCGUAGGCGGCUUGUCGCGUCGUCCGUGAAAACCUGGGGCUCAACCCCAGGCUUGCGGUCGAUACGGGCAGGCUCGAGUUCGGUAGGGGAGACUGGAAUUCCUGGUGUAGCGGUGAAAUGCGCAGAUAUCAGGAGGAACACCGGUGGCGAAGGCGGUUCUCUGGGCCUUACCUGACGCUGAGGAGCGAAAGCGUGGGGAGCAAACAGG